ACGUGGAUGGACCUAGAGAGUGUCAUACAGAGUGAAAAUCCUGUUUUGGUGGUGCAGCUCUUGGGAUCAGUGCUCUGAGCACCCAGCAGAAGAGGCUGUGAAUGCUUCGGGCUCAGUCAGUCAAGCACCGUGAGCUGCAACAGGGAACAUACAGACAGGAGGCCAGGUGCGCUGAAUCGACAGUCCUGAGUUUUGAAGUUUUCCUGGAGGGGACGUGAGGGGAUUUCUCCGGGAUCGAUGGAACUCCUUUUGUGAUAAAGCCUAGUCAUCAAUCAACAGGUGAGGAAGUAGAGCCAGGCAUUGGGUGAGUGUUGAUGUUUCUGGUACAAGCUGACUCUCCGCUCGUCAUCCCACACCUUCAUCCGCCAUCACCAUGCUGUCUGUCACCUCCUCUUCUCUGAAGAAGGCCCGGGCCAUCUUUUGAAAAUACAAAGCCCAGCAUUGAGACCCUCCCAACUGAGAGAGCAGGAAGGGCCAGGGCUGCUGAGGUGCUCCCUGAACCCCGCUCAGGGGAUCUGUGUUGUUCCCACCUGGGUGUAUUGUGUGGACCCCGAAAAUUCCUCCAAACCUCUGCCUCUGCGCUUCCAGAUUGCCCCUGAAAGAAAUGAACAAUAAUCAUAAUACCCACCACGUACUGACCGCUGGUCUCUUGAGGGCUGCCUUGCCAUUGGACAACAUUUGUUGAGCUCCUACUGUUUGCCAGACAGCGGGUACAUGCUUUAUGUGUGUUUAGCCCUUCUGACAACACUGUGAUUUAGGACCUGUUAAUAUGUCUGUUUUGCUGAAAUGGAAACUGAGGUUCAGAGUGGUUAAAUAACAAGGAAAAGUCCAUGUUUUUACCCCCUACACUAAUAUAUAUGUAUAUUUGUGUAUA
Molecule: long non-coding RNA, 874 nt
Organism: Balaenoptera musculus (blue whale)
Lineage: Eukaryota; Metazoa; Chordata; Mammalia; Artiodactyla; Balaenopteridae
Exons: 3
Source: RefSeq, a predicted model, not a curated record